UACGGAGGGGGCUAGCGUUGCUCGGAAUUACUGGGCGUAAAGCGCACGUAGGCGGCUUUGCAAGUCAGAGGUGAAAGCCCGGGGCUCAACCCCGGAAUUGCCUUUGAGACUGCAUCGCUAGAACGUCGGAGAGGUGAGUGGAAUUCCGAGUGUAGAGGUGAAAUUCGUAGAUAUUCGGAAGAACACCAGUGGCGAAGGCGACUCACUGGACGACUGUUGACGCUGAGGUGCGAAAGCGUGGGGAGCAAACAGG
This 253-nucleotide ribosomal RNA is filed under the name uncultured bacterium. RNAcentral's name for it is "partial 16S ribosomal RNA". It matches the Rfam family "Bacterial small subunit ribosomal RNA", at positions 524 to 776 of the family's 1533-position model. The record is from RNAcentral.